CCCUUAGAUGUUCUGGGCAGCACGCGCGCUACAAUGGUCUUCGCAAACGGAUGCAUUCUCGAAGGAGAAUGCCAAUCUUGGAAUCUAUGCCUUGGUCGGGACAGUUGCUUGCAAUUUUUCGACCCGAACCAGGAAUUCCUUGUAAUCGUGAUUCAUCACAUCACGAUGAAUACGUCCCUGCCCUUUGUACACACCGCCCGUCGCUCCUACCGAUCGAAGAGUUAGGUGAAUUGUUUUGAUCGAUAAGAUUUGACUAUGGUCAACUCUCGUUGUGAAAUUCUCUGAAUCUGACUGUUUAGAGGAAGGAAAAGUCGUAACA
This 319-nucleotide ribosomal RNA is filed under the name uncultured eukaryote. RNAcentral describes it as "partial 18S ribosomal RNA". It matches the Rfam family "Eukaryotic small subunit ribosomal RNA", at positions 1470 to 1796 of the family's 1831-position model. The record is from RNAcentral.